GAAGAACGCAGCGAAAUGCGAUACGUAGUGUGAAUUGCAGAAUUCCGCGAAUCAUCGAGUCUUUGAACGCAAGUUGCGCCCGAGGCUCGUCCGAGGGCAUUUCCGUUAGAGCGUCACC
This 118-nucleotide ribosomal RNA is filed under the name Plagiomnium affine. RNAcentral describes it as "partial 5.8S ribosomal RNA". It matches the Rfam family "5.8S ribosomal RNA", at positions 38 to 154 of the family's 154-position model. Rfam says of the family: 5.8S ribosomal RNA (5.8S rRNA) is a component of the large subunit of the eukaryotic ribosome. It is transcribed by RNA polymerase I as part of the 45S precursor that also contains 18S and 28S rRNA. Lineage: Eukaryota; Viridiplantae; Streptophyta; Bryopsida; Bryales; Mniaceae. RNAcentral also lists the same sequence under 12 other names. The record is from RNAcentral.